AGCGGAUUCUCUUUUGCAAACUGCAUCCUCAUGAGGAGAUCGGAACUGUGCUUCAUCUCGAAGCGGUGGUUGCGAAACUCUUCGCGGGCCUUCUCGACGGCGGCGAUCUCGUCGGCGGUGCCGGCGUUGGGGUCGAACUCCCACGUCUGCCUCCCGACGUGGCCGUUGGUGGUGCGCAGCCACGGGUUGCCGCCCUCGGCAAUCUUGAGCUUCCACAUUCCCGCCG
RNAcentral lists this unclassified non-coding RNA (226 nucleotides) under Hevea brasiliensis (rubber tree). The record is from RNAcentral. Lineage: Eukaryota; Viridiplantae; Streptophyta; Magnoliopsida; Malpighiales; Euphorbiaceae.